CGUGCUUAACACAUGCAAGUCGAGCGGUAAGGCCUUUCGGGGUACACGAGCGGCGAACGGGUGAGUAACACGUGGGUGAUCUGCCCUGCACUUCGGGAUAAGCCUGGGAAACUGGGUCUAAUACCGGAUAUGACCUCCUAUCGCAUGGUGGGUGGUGGAAAGAUUUAUCGGUGCAGGAUGGGCCCGCGGCCUAUCAGCUUGUUGGUGGGGUAAUGGCCUACCAAGGCGACGACGGGUAGCCGACCUGAGAGGGUGACCGGCCACACUGGGACUGAGACACGGCCCAGACUCCUACGGGAGGCAGCAGUGGGGAAUAUUGCACAAUGGGCGAAAGCCUGAUGCAGCGACGCCGCGUGAGGGAUGACGGCCUUCGGGUUGUAAACCUCUUUCAGCAGGGACGAAGCGCAAGUGACGGUACCUGCAGAAGAAGCACCGGCUAACUACGUGCCAGCAGCCGCGGUAAUACGUAGGGUGCAAGCGUUGUCCGGAAUUACUGGGCGUAAAGAGUUCGUAGGCGGUUUGUCGCGUCGUUUGUGAAAACCAGCAGCUCAACUGCUGGCUUGCAGGCGAUACGGGCAGACUUGAGUACUGCAGGGGAGACUGGAAUUCCUGGUGUAGCGGUGAAAUGCGCAGAUAUCAGGAGGAACACCGGUGGCGAAGGCGGGUCUCUGGGCAGUAACUGACGCUGAGGAACG
RNAcentral lists this ribosomal RNA (695 nucleotides) under Rhodococcus qingshengii. Its description in RNAcentral is "bacterial SSU rRNA". It matches the Rfam family "Bacterial small subunit ribosomal RNA", at positions 43 to 755 of the family's 1533-position model. Lineage: Bacteria; Bacillati; Actinomycetota; Actinomycetes; Mycobacteriales; Nocardiaceae. The record is from RNAcentral.